UACGUAGGGGGCAAGCGUUAUUCGGAAUAACUGGGCGUAAAGGGCGCGCAGGCGGGUGUGUAAGUCAAAAGUGAAAACCUUGGGCUCAACCCAAGAGCUGCAUUAGAUACUGGGCAGCUAGAGUGUGGGAGAAGAAAGCGGAAUUCCUGGUGUAGCGGUGAAAUGCGUAGAUAUCAGGAGGAACACCAGUGGCGAAAGCGGCUUGCUGGACGACAACUGACGCUUAGGCGCGAAAGCGUGGGGAGCAAACAGG
This 253-nucleotide ribosomal RNA is filed under the name uncultured bacterium. RNAcentral describes it as "partial 16S ribosomal RNA". It matches the Rfam family "Bacterial small subunit ribosomal RNA", at positions 524 to 776 of the family's 1533-position model. The record is from RNAcentral.